RNAcentral lists this unclassified non-coding RNA (352 nucleotides) under soil metagenome. Its description in RNAcentral is "partial contains 5.8S ribosomal RNA, internal transcribed spacer 2, and large subunit ribosomal RNA". The stretch from base 1 to 120 matches the Rfam family "5.8S ribosomal RNA", at positions 35 to 154 of the family's 154-position model. The record is from RNAcentral.
GAUGAAGAACGCAGCGAAAUGCGAUAAGUAAUGUGAAUUGCAGAAUUCAGUGAAUCAUCGAAUCUUUGAACGCACAUUGCGCCCGCCAGUAUUCUGGCGGGCAUGCCUGUUCGAGCGUCAUUACAACCCUCAGGCCCCCGGGCCUGGCGUUGGGGAUCGGCGGAGCCCCCCGUGGGCACACGCCGUCCCCCAAAUACAGUGGCGGUCCCGCCGCAGCUUCCAUCGCGUAGUAGCUAACACCUCGCGACUGGAGAGCGGCGCGGCCACGCCGUAAAACACCCAACUCUUCUGAAGUUGACCUCGAAUCAGGUAGGAAUACCCUCUGAACUUAAGCAUAUCAAUAAGCGGAGGA